RNAcentral lists this ribosomal RNA (614 nucleotides) under Halichondria panicea. Its description in RNAcentral is "partial 28S ribosomal RNA". It matches the Rfam family "Eukaryotic large subunit ribosomal RNA", at positions 684 to 1290 of the family's 3401-position model. Lineage: Eukaryota; Metazoa; Porifera; Demospongiae; Suberitida; Halichondriidae. The record is from RNAcentral.
GUGCGAGUCUUUGGGUGGCAAACCCAGCGGCACAAUGAAAGUGAAGGCAGGCGGUGGUCUGCUUAGGCGAGAGUCUCCUCGUGGGACGCAUCGUCGACCGAUCCCAGGUCACGCUGUGGCGGGAUUUGAGUGAGAGCGUGCCUGUUGCGACCCGAAAGAUGGUGAACUAUGCCUGAAUAGGGUGAAGCCAGAGGAAACUCUGGUGGAUAGCGAUUCUGACGUGCAAAUCGAUCGUCAAAUUUGGGUAUAGGGGCGAAAGACUAAUCGAACCAUCUAGUAGCUGGUUCCCUCCGAAGUUUCCCUCAGGAUAGCUGGAGCCCGGUGCAGUUUUAUCAGGUAAAGCGAAUGAUUAGAGGUCUUGGGGUUGAAACAACUUCAACCUAUUCUCAAACUUUAAAUGGGUAAGAAGCUUGGCUUGCAUUGAAGUCAGGCAUUGAAUGCCGGGGUUCCUAGUGGGCCAUUUUUGGUAAGCAGAACUGGCGAUGUGGGAUGAACCAAAUGCUGGGUUAAGGUGCCCGAAUCAACGCUCAAGAUACCAUGAAAGGUGUUGGUUGAUCUAGACAGCAGGACGGUGGCCAUGGAAGUCGGAACCCGCUAAGGAGUGUGUAACAACU